This 1062-nucleotide ribosomal RNA is filed under the name Triticum aestivum (bread wheat). RNAcentral's name for it is "partial small subunit ribosomal RNA". The record is from RNAcentral. Lineage: Eukaryota; Viridiplantae; Streptophyta; Magnoliopsida; Poales; Poaceae.
AUGGCGUCGUCGUGGGCGCUUCUGGCCGCGGUGCUGGUGGCAACCCACGGCGUGGCGGUGGUGUCUGGCACCCGGGCGGCGGCGGACGCUACACGGCUGCCGUCGUCGGGGCCGGGGUUCAGGGAGGCGCCUGCGUUCCGGAACGGCGACGGGUGCCCGCCGCGGGGGGCGGGGGAGCGCGUGCACAUCGCCAUGACGCUGGACGCCAACUACCUCCGCGGCACCAUCGCCGCCGUCUUCUCCAUCCUGCAGCACACGGCGUGCCCGGAGGACGUGUCCUUCCACUUCCUGGCGGCGCGGCGGCGGGACGCCGACGCCGUGCGCGCCACCUUCCCGUACCUGGACCCCAGCGUGUACCUCUUCGACCCGGCCCGCGUCAGCGGCCGCAUCUCCCGCUCCGUGCGCCACGCGCUGGACCAGCCGCUCAACUACGCUCGCAUCUACCUCGCCGACACGCUGCCCCGCGCCGUGCGCCGGGUCAUCUACCUCGACUCCGACGUGGUGGUCGUCGACGACGUCCGGAAGCUCUGGUCCGUGGACCUCGACGCCGGCGGCGGCCACGUGGUGGCGGCGCCCGAGUACUGCCACACCAACUUCACCAAGUACUUCACCGACGCCUUCUGGUCGGACCCGCGGCUCAGCGCCACGUUCCGGCAGGGCCCGCACCGGCGGCGCCGGCCGUGCUACUUCAACACGGGCGUGAUGGUGAUCGACGUGGCGCGGUGGCGCGCGGGGGGCUACUCGAGGCGGGUGGAGGAGUGGAUGGCGAUCCAGAAGGAGGAGAAGCGGAUCUACAGCCUGGGGUCGCUGCCGCCGUUCCUGCUGGUGCUCGCCGGCGAGAUCAUGCCGGUGGACCACCGGUGGAACCAGCACGGGCUCGGCGGGGACAACGCGGAGGGGAGGUGCCGGAGCCUCCACCCGGGCCCCAUCAGCCUGCUGCACUGGAGCGGGAAGGGGAAGCCGUGGCUGCGGCUCGACACCCGGAAGCCGUGCACCGUCGACUACCUCUGGGAACCCUACGACCUCUACAAGGCCGCCGCCGCCACCGCGAUCGAGGAGUGA